Molecule: transfer RNA, 69 nt
Filed under: Lolium arundinaceum
Lineage: Eukaryota; Viridiplantae; Streptophyta; Magnoliopsida; Poales; Poaceae
Description: Festuca arundinacea tRNA-Ile
Source: RNAcentral
UGGGCCAUCCUGGACUUGAACCAGAGACCUCGCCCUCAGGGGCGCGCUCUACCACUGAGCUAAUAGCCC